UGGGGAAUAUUGCACAAUGGAGGGAACUCUGAUGCAGCGACGCCGCGUGAACGAAGAAGGCUUUCGAGUCGUAAAGUUCUUUUAUAUGGGAAGAUAAUGCCGGUACCAUAAGAAAAAGCCCCGGCUAACUACGUGCCAGCAGCCGCGGUAAUACGUAGGGGGCUAGCGUUGUCCGGAAUCACUGGGCGUAAAGGGUUCGCAGGCGGAAAUGCAAGUCAGGUGUAAAAGGCAGUAGCUUAACUACUGUAAGCAUUUGAAACUGCAUAUCUUGAGAAGAGUAGAGGUAAGUGGAAUUUUUAGUGUAGCGGUGAAAUGCGUAGAUAUUAAAAAGAAUACCGGUGGCGAAGGCGACUUACUGGGCUCAUUCUGACGCUGAGGAACGAAAGCGUGGGUAGCAAACAGG
This 403-nucleotide ribosomal RNA is filed under the name Bacteroidota bacterium. RNAcentral describes it as "Bacteroidetes bacterium partial 16S ribosomal RNA". It matches the Rfam family "Bacterial small subunit ribosomal RNA", at positions 355 to 776 of the family's 1533-position model. The record is from RNAcentral. Lineage: Bacteria; Pseudomonadati; Bacteroidota.